GCUGCAUGGCUGGUCGUCAGCUCGUGUCGUGAGAUGUUGGGUUAAGUCCCGCAACGAGCGCAACCCUUGUCUCUAGUUACUAGCAGUUCGGCUGAGCACUCCUAGAGAGACUGCCGGUGAUAAACCGGAGGAAGGUGGGGAUGACGUCAAGUCAUCAUGGCCCUUAUGGGCAGGGCUACACACGUGCUACAAUGGACGGUACAGAGGGUUGCCAACCCGCGAGGGGGAGCCAAUCCCACAAAGCCGUUCGUAGCGUUGCAGUCUGCAACUCGACUGCAUGAAGUCGGAAUCGUCUAGUAAUCGCAGAUCAGCAUGCUGCGGUGAUA
This 326-nucleotide ribosomal RNA is filed under the name uncultured bacterium. RNAcentral describes it as "bacterial SSU rRNA". It matches the Rfam family "Bacterial small subunit ribosomal RNA", at positions 1040 to 1365 of the family's 1533-position model. The record is from RNAcentral.